This 466-nucleotide long non-coding RNA is filed under the name Bos taurus (domestic cattle). RNAcentral describes it as "long non-coding RNA NONBTAT006643". Lineage: Eukaryota; Metazoa; Chordata; Mammalia; Artiodactyla; Bovidae. The record is from RNAcentral.
AACACUGUUAGAAUCCACUAUGAUGACAGUGGGUUUCUGAUUCUUCGUAGUUAAGGGUCAGACACAUGACCUUAGUAUUGUGGUAACCGUAUGAAGAUAGUACCUCUGAGACCUAUUUGUCAGGCAGGCAAACCUCUCUUGCUGACAUCCUGACCUUCAGGCCUCCUAGUCAUACUUUAAUAAACUUAAAUCUUAAGUGCAAUAUUUUGCGUUAAGUUCAGUUUUAGAAGCAAUUCUAAGUAAGCAGAGUUUAAAUCUCUAACAAACUUGAUAAAAAAAAGAGCAAGAUAUAAGAUACAAAAACAUCUAGAUACAAGUUAACGUAUACUGGUUUUAAUCCUUAAUUUAACUCGUUUUACUACCAACAUAUAAUUAAACCAUACCCUUAUUGCUCAAGAUUAAAUCUUAUAGGUUGUACUUCAUUCAGCAAGUUUAUUGAUAUCUACUACUCACUAAACACCUUUUU